AACGAACGCUGGCGGCAUGCCUAACACAUGCAAGUCGAACGGGAUCCUAGCUUGCUAGGUGAGAGUGGCGGACGGGUGAGUAACACGUGGGAAUCUGCCUUUUGGUUCGGGAUAACCGCGGGAAACUGCGGCUAAUACCGAAUGCCCUCGAGAGAGGAAAGAUUUAUCGCCAGAAGAGGAGCCCGCGUCCGAUUAGGUAGUUGGUGGGGUAAAGGCCUACCAAGCCGACGAUCGGUAGCUGGUCUGAGAGGAUGAUCAGCCACACUGGGACUGAGAUACGGCCCAGACUCCUACGGGAGGCAGCAGUGGGGAAUAUUGGACAAUGGGGGCAACCCUGAUCCAGCAAUGCCGCGUGAGUGAUGAAGGCCUUAGGGUUGUAAAGCUCUUUUGCCAGGGAGAUGAUGACUGUACCUGGAGAAUAAGCCCGGCUAACUUCGUGCCAGC
Molecule: ribosomal RNA, 444 nt
Filed under: uncultured bacterium
Lineage: Bacteria
Description: bacterial SSU rRNA
Rfam family: Bacterial small subunit ribosomal RNA
Source: RNAcentral